AACGAACGCUGGCGGCAGGCCUAACACAUGCAAGUCGAACGCCCGUAGCAAUACGGGAGUGGCAGACGGGUGAGUAACGCGUGGGAACGUGCCCUUCGGUUCGGAAUAACUCAGGGAAACUUGAGCUAAUACCGGAUACGUCCGUAAGGAGAAAGAUUUAUCGCCGAAGGAUCGGCCCGCGUCGGAUUAGCUAGUUGGUGAGGUAACGGCCCACCAAGGCGACGAUCCGUAGCUGGUCUGAGAGGAUGAUCAGCCACACUGGGACUGAGACACGGCCCAGACUCCUACGGGAGGCAGCAGUGGGGAAUAUUGCACAAUGGGCGAAAGCCUGAUGCAGCGACGCCGCGUGAGGGAUGACGGCC
Molecule: ribosomal RNA, 362 nt
Filed under: uncultured bacterium
Lineage: Bacteria
Description: bacterial SSU rRNA
Rfam family: Bacterial small subunit ribosomal RNA
Source: RNAcentral